UAACUGUGCAAAGGUAGCAUAAUCAAUAGUUUUUUAAUUGAAGGCUUGUAUGAAAGGUUGGACAAAGAAUAAUCUGUUUUUAUUUUUUCUUUUGAAUUUGACUUUUGAGUGAAAAGGCUCAAAUAAAUUUGGGGGACGAUAAGACCCUAUAAAUCUUUAUAUUAAGUUAUUUUUUUAACGGUUUAAUUUAGUAAAUAAAGUAAUAAGAUAAAAAAUAUUCUGUUGGGGCGACGAAAAUAUAAAUUUUAACUGUUUUGAAGUUUAAACAAAAUUGUUUGAGUGUGUAAUAGAUCCUUUGUGUAGAUUAAAAAAUUAAGUUACUUUAGGGAUAACAGCGUUAUUUUUUUUGAGAGUUCAUAUCGAAAAAAAAGUUUGCGACCUCGAUGUUGAAUUAAAAUUUCUCUAUAGUGCAGAAGCUAUGGUAGAGAGUCUGUUCGACUUUUAAAUUUUUACG
RNAcentral lists this ribosomal RNA (454 nucleotides) under Sadayoshia aludra. RNAcentral's name for it is "partial 16S ribosomal RNA". It matches the Rfam family "Bacterial large subunit ribosomal RNA", at positions 1943 to 2600 of the family's 2925-position model. The record is from RNAcentral. Lineage: Eukaryota; Metazoa; Arthropoda; Malacostraca; Decapoda; Munididae.